GUUUGUGCCUGCUUCUCUUUCAAAUGGAAUUAAUGGUGGUUUAAUGGGGUAUGAAAGGAUGUUUUACUGGAAACAAUGAGGAACAAUUGUCUAGCUCACGUUUCAUUUCACAGGUCAUUAUUGCAUUAAGAAGUAAAUCGACCAAGUCCGGUAAAUAACAGUCUGUGUUUUGCCCAGAGCUUCAAACCAACAAUCUUAGCAGUCACCAACUAAUAUCUUUGUCAUUUUUAACCCUUGAAGGGAUCUGCUGGGGGCUAAACAAUUAUAGUCUUCACCCACCCCUAGCAGCAGAUGAAACCUGUAGUUGCUGACUGAAGCAGAAAAGUCUAUUGGCUGCUAUAUCACCAAGUGACCAGGAAUAUCUCUACUGCAGUAUGUCAUGCUGAUAUGGCACAGGCAUUGCUCUUCACAUCCACAAGGACGUAUCCAUCAAGGUAUCCCUUCAGGAUGCUGAAGCAGAACAAUGCAGCCCAGUCUGGAUCAAGCCCAGAAGUUGCAAAGGUGGAUUAAAUAAAUGCAUGCAGAUAAUGUGUGAUGAGCACCAAGAGAUGUAACGACCCUCAGAGGUUUACCAGACUACUGAGAAAGCAUUCAGUAAUUCAUGUGUAUUCAUCAUGUUUGAAAAUCACCAGCUCUUGCAACUGACUGCGUAUUCAGCAGCUCACUAAUAGCAUAAUAUCGUGGGAUGGAUACAAGAGUGAAACAUAAUGGGAGCUGACAAGCUGGACAGGUCUCAGAAAUCUACACACAAACUACUGCCCAGAGCAAAAAGCAAAAAUAUAGACUAAAAUAAAAAUCCUGGCAGAAGACUGGAGGGGCUCUAAACAUUGCAGUGUGGGACACCUCCAAUUAUUUUUGACUGGCAAGUGGAGUCCUUGCUGGACUUUUUUCUACUUCAAGGCUUUCCUGACAUAGCCUCUGUAUUGAGUUCACUAGUUGUAAUAAGUAAACAGGCAUGCAGUUUCCAUUGGAUGUGGUAUGCUUAAACUGCUGCAACCAGUAGUGACUUAAGGUAACAGAUGAAGCUCUCCCCUCCCUCCUCCAUGUUCCCCCCCGCACAGAUGAUAUUCUCUCUGGGCAUGAGCAGUUCUGGCAGUGAUUUGACAUCUCACAGCCUGCCUGGUACUGAUCAACAUUUCUGAUGUGAUCUUGCAGGC
Neopsephotus bourkii (Bourke's parrot) is the source of this 1157-nucleotide long non-coding RNA. RefSeq lists it as uncharacterized. The record is from RefSeq and is a predicted model, not a curated record. NCBI's taxonomy places the organism in Eukaryota, Metazoa, Chordata, Aves, Psittaciformes, Psittacidae. The transcript is spliced from 3 exons.